UUGCUAUGAUGACUGUCUUAGGACACCUUUGGAAUGCCCAUGAAAAAAAAAUGUAUUUCUGAGCAAC
RNAcentral lists this small nucleolar RNA (67 nucleotides) under Dromaius novaehollandiae (emu). RNAcentral describes it as "Small nucleolar RNA SNORD58 (ENSDNVG00000004945.1)". It matches the Rfam family "Small nucleolar RNA SNORD58". From Rfam's summary of the family: snoRNA U58 is found in introns 1, 3 and 6 of the ribosomal protein RPL17 gene in humans. U58 is a member of the C/D class of snoRNA which contain C (UGAUGA) and D (CUGA) box motifs. Lineage: Eukaryota; Metazoa; Chordata; Aves; Casuariiformes; Dromaiidae. The record is from Rfam by way of RNAcentral.